AGCGAACGCUGGCGGCGUGCCUAACACAUGCAAGUCGAACGGUUCUGUUGGGGGCUUGCUCUCGACAGAGUAGUGGCAAACGGGUGAGUAACACGUGGGUAAUCUUCCUUCGAGUGAGGAAUAACUUCGGGAAACCGGAGCUAAUACCGCAUAACAUCUUGGAACGGCAGUUCUAAGAUCAAAGGGGGCGCAAGCUCCCGCUUGAAGUUGAGCUCGCGUCCUAUCAGCUAGUUGGUGAGGUAAUGGCUCACCAAGGCUCCGACGGGUAGCCGGCCUGAGAGGGUGGCCGGCCACACUGGGACUGAGACACGGCCCAGACUCCUACGGGAGGCAGCAGUGGGGAAUAUUGCGCAAUGGACGAAAGUCUGACGCAGCGACGCCGCGUGGGUGAUGAAGGCCUUCGGGUCGUAAAGCCCUGUUGAGGGAGAGAAAGCUACUGUCGGUUAAUACCCGGCGAGUGGUGAUAGUAUCCCUAGAGAAAGCACCGGCUAACUACGUGCC
This 501-nucleotide ribosomal RNA is filed under the name uncultured bacterium. RNAcentral describes it as "bacterial SSU rRNA". It matches the Rfam family "Bacterial small subunit ribosomal RNA", at positions 29 to 509 of the family's 1533-position model. The record is from RNAcentral.